GUCGUACGAGGAUCGUCGGGUUAGCAAUAAUUCGGCGGUUCGAGUGGCGCACGGGUGAGUAACACGUGGGUAACCCACCCUCGAGACCGGGAUACCCUCUCGAAAGGGAGGCUAAUACUGGAUACGUUCCCUGGGACGCAAGAUCUGGGGAGGAAAGGUGGCGAAAGCUGCCGCUCUUGGAGGGGCUCGCGGCCUAUCAGCUAGUUGGUGAGGUAACGGCUCACCAAGGCUAUGACGGGUAGCUGGUCUGAGAGGACGACCAGCCACACGGGAACUGAGACACGGUCCCGACUCCUACGGGAGGCAGCAGUGGGGAAUUUUCCGCAAUGGGCGAAAGCCUGACGGAGUGACGCCGCGUGGGGGACGAAGGCCUUCGGGUCGUAAACCCCUGUCAGAGGGAAAGAAGGGUGUCGGCGUGAAUAGCGCCGGCAUCUGACGGUACCUUCAGAGGAAGCCCCGGCCAACUCUGUGCCAGCAGCCGCGGUAAGACAGAGGGGGCAAGCGUUGCUCGGAAUCACUGGGCGUAAAGGGCGCGUAGGCGGGAUGGCAAGUCGGUCGUGAAAUCCUUCGGCUCAACCGAAGAACGUCGGCCGAUACUGCCGUUCUUGAGGGAUGCAGAGGAGAUUGGAAUUCCCGGUGUAGCGGUGAAAUGUGUAGAGAUCGGGAGGAACACCGGUGGCGAAGGCGGGUCUCUGGGCAUCUCCUGACGCUGAGGCGCGAAAGCGUGGGGAGCAAACGGGAUUAGAUA
RNAcentral lists this ribosomal RNA (748 nucleotides) under uncultured Pseudomonadota bacterium. RNAcentral's name for it is "bacterial SSU rRNA". It matches the Rfam family "Bacterial small subunit ribosomal RNA", at positions 61 to 784 of the family's 1533-position model. Lineage: Bacteria; Pseudomonadati; Pseudomonadota. The record is from RNAcentral.